Non-coding RNA from Cajanus cajan (pigeon pea), 951 nucleotides. Lineage: Eukaryota; Viridiplantae; Streptophyta; Magnoliopsida; Fabales; Fabaceae. The record is from RefSeq and is a predicted model, not a curated record.
UGACAGACGAGAGUGAGCACACAUGGUACUUUCUUGGAUGAUAAUGUUUCAUGCUUGAAAUUAUGUGUGCUCACUCUCUAUCUGUCACCAACUCUAUUUCUAUCACUUUGUUUUUCACUUUUACUAUAUAUAUAUAUCUACAUAUUUUGUUUCUUUCUUUUAUCACUUUCCCUUCCAUAUGCUACAAGUAACCCUAGCUAGCAACUUAGACUCUUGCAGUCAUAUCACAUUCCGUACCACAGGGUUUUGGAGGAUACUCGGCUAAGAAGAAAAAUUGAUAUCAGCAAUGAACUUCUAGAUUUUGCAGUGGAGGUGUUAGGUCAUGGUUUAGGUUUACUCAUCUCUCUUUCUUUCUAAUGGUGUAUUAUUAGAAUGUAUUUAUUUGGUUUGUUAGAAGGAUGUUGGAGUAGCUUUUAUAUUCUUAUGAAUCAAUUUAGCUUUUAAAAUAAAUUCAGUCACAUUCCCUGACCUUCAUGGAAGUAGUUAAUCUCUAUACCAACGAGCUACUUUAGUUAAUUCAAUCAAUCUUCCAUCACGGAACUUAAUUUUAAAAUUAAUGAAGUAUAUUGAUUAACUGUCUCCUUAUUAGAUACUAUAGUACUUUAGCUUAAGGUACACAUAUUUUCAACCCCUGAUAUUUGUUUCACUAAAAUAUUAAGUUUUCAUAUAUCACUUUCAGGUUGCAAAAAGUCUUGUUGAAAUGGAGUACCGUCAAAUGAAUCAUCCAGCAAAAGCUUCAAUGGCGUGGGAAAUUAAAAACAAAUAUAUGUGUUUUUGUAUAUAUUUAUGGUUGAAAAAAAGGAAGAGCUCUGGGAAAGGGAGUUGUUGUGGUGGUUAAUUAUCUUGUUAUAUGCCAACAUGAUGAAUGUAUGUGUAUAUUUAAUUUUUACAGAAACGAGUGAUGACAUGGAUAAUAAGGAUUUAUACACAACCAUGUAAUACUUUGAUCAA